GACGAACGCUGGCGGCGUGCCUAACACAUGCAAGUCGAACGGGACCGGGGGCAACUCCGGUUCAGUGGCGGACGGGUGCGUAACACGUGAGGAACAUGACCUUGGCGGGGGAGUAGCUGGCCCAACGGCCGGGUAAUACCGCGUACGACCUUUCGGGGACAUCCUCGGAUGGUGAAAGCAGCAAUGCGCCGAUGGAGUGCCUCGCGGCCUAUCAGCUAGUUGGUGGGGUAACGGCCCACCAAGGCGACGACGGGUAGGCUGGUCUGAGAGGAUGGCCAGCCACAUUGGGACUGAGACACGGCCCAGACUCCUACGGGAGGCAGCAGUGGGGAAUAUUGCGCAAUGGGCGAAAGCCUGACGCAGCGACGCCGCGUGUGGGAUGACGGUCUU
RNAcentral lists this ribosomal RNA (390 nucleotides) under uncultured bacterium. RNAcentral's name for it is "bacterial SSU rRNA". It matches the Rfam family "Bacterial small subunit ribosomal RNA", at positions 28 to 418 of the family's 1533-position model. The record is from RNAcentral.